This 406-nucleotide ribosomal RNA is filed under the name uncultured bacterium. RNAcentral describes it as "partial 16S ribosomal RNA". It matches the Rfam family "Bacterial small subunit ribosomal RNA", at positions 30 to 526 of the family's 1533-position model. The record is from RNAcentral.
AUUGAACGCUGGCGGCAGGCCUAACACAUGCAAGUCGAACGAGUGGCGGACGGGUGAGUAAUGUCUGGGAAACUGCCCGAUGGAGGGGGAUAACUACUGGAAACGGUAGCUAAUACCGCAUACCAUCGGAUGUGCCCAGAUGGGAUUAGCUAGUAGGUGGGGUAACGGCUCACCUAGGCGACGAUCCCUAGCUGGACUGGGAGGAUGACCAGCCACACUGGAACUGAGACACUGUCCAGACUCCUACGGGAGGCAGCAGUGGGGAAUAUUGCACAAGGGGCGCAAGCCUUAUGCAGUCAUGCCGCGUGUAUGAAGAAGGCCUUCGGGUUGUAAAGUACUUUCAGCGAGGAGGCGUUACUCGCAGAAGAAGCACCGGCUAACUCCGUGCCAGCCGCCGCGGUAAUAC